CCAGCUGCCAAACUAACCCUGAUUCAGAUGACCAUCCUACCUAUGCUAGAUCCCUGAGACGUAACACAUCAUUUAUAGAUCGGCAGUCUACACCACCAGUUGAUUGAGAGAUCCAGUUUGCAGCCGAACAUGCACCUUAGAGAAGACCAGCAAGUGGGCCCUCCUCAGCGUGUGUGACCAACCUUUUUGAUGAUAGUCCAGGAACUGAUCUACACUGCUAUGCCCAUCAAUGUGGCUCUGGCAAAGACCUCACCUCCAGCCUCACCUCUUGCCUGCUCACCAAUGGUUGUUUAUGGGGAGAAGAUAAUUAGAUGCAUGAGAUGCAGAGAUACCUGGCUCUCAACACAUCCACAAUAAGAUGGACUGGAGAUGCUUUUGCCAGGUGCCAGCCUCAGUCGUUUGAUGUGGAGACCAUAAUUGUUUUAUCUAAAGUGUUCUAACUUCAACAUAGUACCUGUUUGUGUAUCAGAUAUUACCUAUCUUAACUGCAAUUGGUAAUCGAACUGUGAUUGUGUAUGUGUUCACAGAAACAUGUAAGGAGCAAGCCAAAAAGCUAGGCCAAAUCAGCGGGUGCAAUUUCUCACCACAAUGCCUACUCCACCCAUGGAUCCACCCAAACAUUCUCAAACAACCUAAUUCAUACUCUUCAGAGGGAUAAUGGACUUUACAGUGCCCUGCUAUUAAGAUUAUGUAUACCGAGAUUAUAUAUGUAUAUAUACACUGCUCAAAAAAAUAAAGGGAACACUUAAACAACACAAUGUAACUCCAAGUCAAUCACUCUUCUGUGAAAUCAAACUGUCCACUUAGGAAGCAACACUGAUUGACAAUACAUUUCACAUGCUGUUGUGCAAAUGGAAUAGACAAAAGGUGGAAAUUAUAGGCAAUUAGCAAGACACCCCCAAUAAAGGAGUGAUUCUGCAGGUGGUGACCACAGACCACUUCUCAGUUCCUAUGCUUCCUGGCUGAUGUUUUGGUCACUUUUGAAUGCUGGCGGUGCUCUCACUCUAGUGGUAGCAUGCGAUGGAGUCUACAACCCACACAAGUGGCUCAGGUAGUGCAGCUCAUCCAGGAUGGCACAUCAAUGUGAGCUGUGGCAAGAAGGUUUGCUGUGUCUGUCAGCGUAGUGUCCAGAGCAUGGAGGCGCUACCAGGAGACAGGCCAGUACAUCAGGAGAUGU
Molecule: long non-coding RNA, 1177 nt
Organism: Salvelinus fontinalis (brook trout)
Lineage: Eukaryota; Metazoa; Chordata; Actinopteri; Salmoniformes; Salmonidae
Exons: 4
Source: RefSeq, a predicted model, not a curated record